RNAcentral lists this ribosomal RNA (253 nucleotides) under uncultured bacterium. RNAcentral's name for it is "partial 16S ribosomal RNA". It matches the Rfam family "Bacterial small subunit ribosomal RNA", at positions 524 to 775 of the family's 1533-position model. The record is from RNAcentral.
UACGUAGGGUGCGAGCGUUAAUCGGAAUUACUGGGCGUAAAGCGUGCGCAGGCGGUUUUGUAAGCCAGAUGUGAAAUCCCCCGGGCUUAACCUGGGAAUGGCAUUUGGGACUGCAAGGCUGGAGUACGGCAGAGGAGACUGGAAUUCCUGGUGUAGCAGUGAAAUGCGUAGAGAUCAGGAGGAAUACCGAUGGCGAAGGCAGGUCUCUGGGCUGAUACUGACGCUCAUGCACGAAAGCGUGGGGAGCAACAGG